RNAcentral lists this ribosomal RNA (487 nucleotides) under uncultured bacterium. RNAcentral describes it as "bacterial SSU rRNA". It matches the Rfam family "Bacterial small subunit ribosomal RNA", at positions 30 to 514 of the family's 1533-position model. The record is from RNAcentral.
UGAACGCUGGCGGCGUGCUUAACACAUGCAAGUCGAGCGGCAGCGCGGGAGCAAUCCUGGCGGCGAGCGGCGAACGGGUGAGUAAUGCUUCGGAAUCUGCCCAGUAGUGGGGAAUAACCAGUCGAAAGACUGGCUAAUACCGCAUACGACCUAUGGGUGAAAGCAGGGGACCGCAAGGCCUUGCGCUAUUGGAUGAGCCGAAGUCGGAUUAGCUAGUUGGUGAGGUAACGGCUCACCAAGGCGACGAUCCGUAGCUGGUCUGAGAGGACGACCAGCCACACUGGGACUGAGACACGGCCCAGACUCCUACGGGAGGCAGCAGUGGGGAAUAUUGGACAAUGGGGGCAACCCUGAUCCAGCGACGCCGCGUGUGUGAAGAAGGCCUGCGGGUUGUAAAGCACUUUUAGUGGGGAGGAAACCCCCGGACCUAACACGUCGGGAAUUGACUUAACCCAAGAAAACGCACCGGCUAACUCUGCGCCAGCAG